This 214-nucleotide long non-coding RNA is filed under the name Mytilus galloprovincialis (Mediterranean mussel). Lineage: Eukaryota; Metazoa; Mollusca; Bivalvia; Mytilida; Mytilidae. The record is from RNAcentral.
ACACAACAAUGGAAGCGAGGGUACAAAUCAACCAAAAGGCUACGAAUGAAUCGGAAACGAAAAUGAAGGUGUGAAUAAUGUUCGACACAUGGAGUCAUAUAGGCCACACCCAGCAGGCCGGUUGCAGUCGGGCUUUGAAAAAAUAUUCAGCAUAUCAGUUCGGCGGAACAGUCCUUCCGUUCAGAUAUGGGAUUCACAUGCAAUCCUUCCCCCC